GGGGAUGUAGCUCAGCUGGCUAGAGCGCUUGACUGGCAGUCAAGAGGUCGUGGGUUCGAGUCCCAUCUUCUCCAC
RNAcentral lists this transfer RNA (75 nucleotides) under Aureisphaera sp. RNAcentral's name for it is "tRNA-Ala". It matches the Rfam family "tRNA". From Rfam's summary of the family: Transfer RNA (tRNA) molecules are approximately 80 nucleotides in length. Their secondary structure includes four short double-helical elements and three loops (D, anti-codon, and T loops). RNAcentral also lists the same sequence under 4 other names. Lineage: Bacteria; Pseudomonadati; Bacteroidota; Flavobacteriia; Flavobacteriales; Flavobacteriaceae. The record is from RNAcentral.